UGUGUAGGCGGCGCGGUAAGUCGGGUGUGAAAUCUCGGGGCUUAACUCCGAAACUGCAUUCGAUACUGCCGUGCUUGAGGACUGGAGAGGAGACUGGAAUUUACGGUGUAGCAGUGAAAUGCGUAGAUAUCGUAAGGAAGACCAGUGGCGAAGGCGGGUCUCUGGACAGUUCCUGACGCUGAGACACGAAGGCCAGGGAGCAAACG
Molecule: ribosomal RNA, 206 nt
Filed under: uncultured bacterium
Lineage: Bacteria
Description: partial 16S ribosomal RNA
Rfam family: Bacterial small subunit ribosomal RNA
Source: RNAcentral